AAGGAAUAUUGGACAAUGGAGGGAACUCUGAUCCAGCCAUGCCGCGUGAAGGAAGAAGGCGCUCAGCGUUGUAAACUUCUUUUGGAUGGGAACAAAUGCGAUCCUGCGGGGUCGUUUGAGGGUACCAUCAGAAUAAGCACCGGCUAACUCCGUGCCAGUAGCCGCGGUAAUACGGAGGGUGCAAGCGUUAUCCGGAAUCACUGGGUUUAAAGGGUGCGUAGGCGGUGUGGUAAGUCAGUUGUGAAAUUCACCGGCUUAACCGGUAGGAGUGCGAUUGAUACUGCUUUACUUGAAUCAGGUUGAGGUGAGCGGAAUGUGGCAUGUAGCGGUGAAAUGCAUAGAUAUGCCAUAGAACACCGAUUGCGAAGGCAGCUUGCUGGACCUUGAUUGACGCUGAGGCACGAAAGCGUGGGGAGCAAAC
RNAcentral lists this ribosomal RNA (421 nucleotides) under uncultured bacterium. Its description in RNAcentral is "bacterial SSU rRNA". It matches the Rfam family "Bacterial small subunit ribosomal RNA", at positions 356 to 773 of the family's 1533-position model. The record is from RNAcentral.